Enhydra lutris kenyoni (northern sea otter) is the source of this 409-nucleotide non-coding RNA. NCBI's taxonomy places the organism in Eukaryota, Metazoa, Chordata, Mammalia, Carnivora, Mustelidae. The record is from the annotation of a RefSeq genome assembly.
CUAGCUCAGAGCAGAGGUCUGUGAAGUUCCCCCUGCCACCAUGGACUGGGUUCCCUUCUACAUCAUGCCCUUUAUUUUCUCUACAGGCUUCUGUUCUCUGCCUGUGCUGACCCAGCCUUCAUCUGCAUCUGCCUCCCUGGGAGCCUCAGUCAAGCUCACCUGCACACUGAGCAGUGAGCACAGCAAUUAUUUGGUUCACUGGUAUCAAGAGCGACCAGGGAAGGCUCCCCUGUAUAUGAUGUUAGUUAGAAGAGAUGGAAGCCACAGCAAGGGGGAUGGGAUCCCCAACCGCCUCUCAGGCUCCAGCUCUGGAGUUGACCGCUAUUUAACCAUCUCCAACAUCCAGUCUGAAGAUGAGGCUGAGUAUUACUGUGGUGCAGACUAUGAAAUUGGUGGUCAAUACGGUUAA